GCCGCGAGGCAGAGCAAAACCCUAAAAAAUAGGUCCCAGUUCGGAUCGCAGGCUGCAACCCGCCUGCGUGAAGUUGGAAUUGCUAGUAAUCGCGGAUCAGCAUGCCGCGGUGAAUACGUUCCCGGGCCUUGUACACACCGCCCGUCACACCAUGGAAGUCGGUAAUGCCCGAAGUCAGUAGCCUAACCGCAAGGAGGGCGCUGCCGAAGGCAGGAUUGAUGACUGGGGUGAAGUCGUAACAAGGUAGC
RNAcentral lists this ribosomal RNA (248 nucleotides) under uncultured bacterium. RNAcentral's name for it is "partial 16S ribosomal RNA". It matches the Rfam family "Bacterial small subunit ribosomal RNA", at positions 1254 to 1500 of the family's 1533-position model. The record is from RNAcentral.